Molecule: ribosomal RNA, 301 nt
Filed under: uncultured bacterium
Lineage: Bacteria
Description: partial 16S ribosomal RNA
Rfam family: Bacterial small subunit ribosomal RNA
Source: RNAcentral
CAGCCGCCGCGGUAAUACAGAGGGUGCGAGCGUUAAUCGGAUUUACUGGGCGUAAAGCGUGCGUAGGCGGCUUCUUAAGUUGGAUGUGAAAUCCCUGAGCUUAACUUAGGAAUUGCAUUCGAUACUGGGAAGCUAGAGUAUGGGAGAGGAUGGUAGAAUUCCAGGUGUAGCGGUGAAAUGCGUAGAGAUCUGGAGGAAUACCGAUGGCGAAGGCAGCCAUCUGGCCUAAUACUGACGCUGAGGUACGAAAGCAUGGGGAGCAAACAGGAUUAGAUACCCGAGUAGUCCCUGUCUCUUAUAC